This 89-nucleotide transfer RNA is filed under the name Bacillus subtilis subsp. subtilis str. BSP1. Its description in RNAcentral is "tRNA-Leu". The record is from RNAcentral. Lineage: Bacteria; Bacillati; Bacillota; Bacilli; Caryophanales; Bacillaceae.
AAUAUGACGAGAAUGCUGCAGCAGGUAGUCAAAAAGGGAACGGCUACGUCCGGCACCUAUCACGGCGACCUGGCGGGAAAAACAGGUUC